UGAUGGCGACCGGCGCACGGGUGAGUAACACGUAUCCAACCUGCCGAUAACUCGGGGAUAGCCUUUCGAAAGAAAGAUUAAUACCCGAUGGCAUAAUUAGACCGCAUGGUUUGAUUAUUAAAGAAUUUCGGUUAUCGAUGGGGAUGCGUUCCAUUAGGCAGUUGGUGAGGUAACGGCUCACCAAACCUUCGAUGGAUAGGGGUUCUGAGAGGAAGGUCCCCCACAUUGGAACUGAGACACGGUCCAA
This 247-nucleotide ribosomal RNA is filed under the name uncultured bacterium. RNAcentral's name for it is "partial 16S ribosomal RNA". It matches the Rfam family "Bacterial small subunit ribosomal RNA", at positions 86 to 334 of the family's 1533-position model. The record is from RNAcentral.